UUGCUCCUUUGACGUUAGCGGCGGACGGGUGAGUAACACGUGGGUAACCUACCUAUAAGACUGGGAUAACUUCGGGAAACCGGAGCUAAUACCGGAUAAUAUUUCGAACCGCAUGGUUCGAUAGUGAAAGAUGGUUUUGCUAUCACUUAUAGAUGGACCCGCGCCGUAUUAGCUAGUUGGUAAGGUAACGGCUUACCAAGGCGACGAUACGUAGCCGACCUGAGAGGGUGAUCGGCCACACUGGAACUGAGACACGGUCCAGACUCCUACGGGAGGCAGCAGUAGGGAAUCUUCCGCAAUGGGCGAAAGCCUGACGGAGCAACGCCGCGUGAGUGAUGAAGGUCUUCGGAUCGUAAAACUCUGUUAUUAGGGAAGAACAUACGUGUAAGUAACUAUGCACGUCUUGACGGUACCUAAUCAGAAAGCCACGGCUAACUACGUGCCAGCAGCCGCGGUAAUACGUAGGUGGCAAGCGUUAUCCGGAAUUAUUGGGCGUAAAGCGCGCGUAGGCGGUUUUUUAAGUCUGAUGUGAAAGCCCACGGCUCAACCGUGGAGGGUCAUUGGAAACUGGAAAACUUGAGUGCAGAAGAGGAAAGUGGAACUCCAUGGGUAAAAGCCG
This 619-nucleotide ribosomal RNA is filed under the name Staphylococcus haemolyticus. Its description in RNAcentral is "bacterial SSU rRNA". It matches the Rfam family "Bacterial small subunit ribosomal RNA", at positions 80 to 684 of the family's 1533-position model. Lineage: Bacteria; Bacillati; Bacillota; Bacilli; Caryophanales; Staphylococcaceae. The record is from RNAcentral.